RNAcentral lists this long non-coding RNA (1461 nucleotides) under Chrysemys picta bellii (western painted turtle). RNAcentral describes it as "lncRNA (ENSCPBG00000005622.1)". The record is from RNAcentral. Lineage: Eukaryota; Metazoa; Chordata; Testudines; Emydidae.
AAACAGCUUAUUGGGAGGUGCGGGGAGGGAGAGGGGGUGCUGAUCGGCGGGGCUGACGGUGGGCGGGAGGCACUGGGAGCGGAGGGGGGGCGGUACCAGUGAAAAUUCAGAUUCCGUUUGCUCAAUGCACAGCAGUUUAUUGGAGAAUCACAUAAGCAGUAAAAGGUUGUUGUGUGCAGCACCAAUAUCACCGUAAUGUGCGGCACCAGUACAAACAAAACCCCCUAGAUAUCUAUUUGUAAACAGUUUAUAGCUCUGGAAGAAAGAAUAUUAAAACAAGGAAUAAUUAAGGAGGGGCUCGGCUUAAGAUGUUUAUUUAAUAUGAAAUCAAAUAAAAAGAAAGUUGGAGUACAUGGAUUUUAUCAUCCUUUCUAACAACUCAAGCUUGUAAACACACCAAAAUGGGGCACACUGAAAACAGCUAUGUAAAUAAAACAAAGACAUGGCCAUUAAGUGAAAGCAUAAAAAAUAUGCCCCAGAGGCCCAGUUGAAUAAUCUUCUCCUACCAUCGAGCACUAAACCUUCAGGGAAAGCUGCUCUUGAAAAAUGAAGCAUCUGCCAACACACUAGCACGUUAUGGACUUUUGCAGGUCACAAAACUGUCCUCUUGCAUGCACAUUAUCUGCACACACCGCUCAGCUUUAAGAUGCUAAACAACUCUCUGAGUCAACUAGAAAUAGUCACGCUCUCAUCGCAAAUAUUAACACAAUCUUUUCUGAUGCUGGAAAGGACAGUAAAAGGCAUUCACUCAGACUUAUACAAUUUCUCUGGGAUGUCAACUUGUAAUGUGAUUAAUAUGUCACACACGUUGAACAGUAACAAUAAGUAAUAAAGCAACACAGAGAGCAACAGACCCACAAACAAACAAGUGACACCACUGAGAAUACGAAGGGAAGAAAAACAUCAAGUGGUUGGUUAUGGGGAUUUUACAUGAGUGUUUAGGACCCACGCUGUGCAAGUGCAACAGAGCCCUGUACAAACAGGCAAAGUUCUCCUGGUUUCACAUAUGUGUGUGUGUGUGUGUGUGUGUGUGUGUGUGUGUGUGUGUGUGUGUGUGUCACCAACUCAGAGUCGACUCAUUAAGUUUUUGCAAGCCCCAGAGCACAUUAACACAUGACCUCAGAGUUUGCAGACAGAUCCCCGCUUCAAAGAGUUUGCAGGUAAGGUCUUUAUCCUACAAAACACGUAGCACCAAACCUAGUACUACUUGCUCCUUAUGAGUCAAUGGAAGUACUCUGAAGAGCCAGAACUAUACCAGCUAGCAAAGAUCUGGCCUUAAUGGUUCCCAAUACCUCUCCCCAAACAAAAGUCAUGGAAAUCGCUUGUCUGGAGGCGUCUCUCUGGCCACCAGCAGGGUGACAAGUGAUCUCCAUUCAGUUGUAGAAUUUGUUUGGGGAGAGGAUGGGAGGAACAGACUGAGGAGUGCAGGGGGUUGGUAAGCGGCGCAGAAGCUGCUGCGCG